This 490-nucleotide ribosomal RNA is filed under the name uncultured bacterium. RNAcentral's name for it is "bacterial SSU rRNA". It matches the Rfam family "Bacterial small subunit ribosomal RNA", at positions 37 to 507 of the family's 1533-position model. The record is from RNAcentral.
AACAACGCGUGGCGGCGUGUCUUAAGCAUGCAAGUUGAGCGGCAAGGAGGAGAGAUCCUCCCUAGAGCAGCGGACUGGUGAGUAACGCGUGGGUAAUCUAUCUUAGGCAUGGGGAUAGUCACUAGAAAUAGUGGGUAAUACCGAAUAAGUUCCAUAAGGGGAGGACUUAUGGAAGAAAGGUGCUACGGCACUGGCCUUAGGUGAGCUCGCGUCCCAUUAGCUAGUUGGUGAGGUAAAGGCCCACCAAGGCGAUGAUGGGUAGCCGGCCUGAGAGGGUGUACGGCCACACUGGGACUGAGAUACGGCCCAGACUCCUACGGGAGGCAGCAGCUAAGAAUAUUCCGCAAUGGACGGAAGUCUGACGGAGCGACGCCGCGUGGAUGAAGAAGGCCGAAAGGUUGUAAAGUUCUUUUGCUAGGGGAGAAUAAGUGUGGGAGGGAAUGCCUGCACGAUGACAAGGACUAGCGAAUAAGUCCCGGCCAACUACGUG